AUGCAGGUAUUGUUACAAUAUAACUGAAGUGUUUUAUUAUCAUUCUUUCUGCUUAAAGCAUUUGAUGUAUAACUAUUUCUAACUCCAUUCCAUAGUAAGACAGAGAUGCUUAGUCUUAAACAU
Otolemur garnettii (small-eared galago) is the source of this 123-nucleotide small nucleolar RNA. Its record names the gene SNORA63. It matches the Rfam family "Small nucleolar RNA SNORA63". Rfam says of the family: E3 belongs to the H/ACA class of snoRNAs and is involved in the processing of eukaryotic pre-rRNA and has regions of complementarity to 18S rRNA. NCBI's taxonomy places the organism in Eukaryota, Metazoa, Chordata, Mammalia, Primates, Galagidae. The record is from Ensembl.